GAGAAGAAUCUGUAAAGCUCAGGAGGGAUAGCGCCAUGAUUGUCAGAUUCACAUUGAUUUUUUGGCGCUGUCCAUCCUGAGUUUCAUUGGCUCUUCUU
Molecule: microRNA precursor, 98 nt
Filed under: Eutrema salsugineum
Lineage: Eukaryota; Viridiplantae; Streptophyta; Magnoliopsida; Brassicales; Brassicaceae
Description: MIR390 microRNA precursor family
Rfam family: MIR390 microRNA precursor family
Source: Rfam by way of RNAcentral